This 109-nucleotide small RNA is filed under the name Chryseobacterium sp. AG844. Its description in RNAcentral is "Flavo-1 RNA". The record is from RNAcentral. Lineage: Bacteria; Pseudomonadati; Bacteroidota; Flavobacteriia; Flavobacteriales; Weeksellaceae.
UGCUAGCCCCGAUAGCAGCGGUUACCCCGGAACUUGCGCUGUGGCCCUUCGGCAUCGCUUAGGUUGAAGGUGCUGGCGUGAGGAGUAUGAGCGGAUAGCGGGAAUCAGC